This 253-nucleotide ribosomal RNA is filed under the name uncultured bacterium. Its description in RNAcentral is "partial 16S ribosomal RNA". It matches the Rfam family "Bacterial small subunit ribosomal RNA", at positions 524 to 776 of the family's 1533-position model. The record is from RNAcentral.
GACGUAGGGCGCGAGCGUUGUCCGGAUUUAUUGGGCGUAAAGAGCUCGUAGGCGGCUUGUCGCGUCGUCCGUGAAAACUUGGGGCUCAACCCCAAGCUUGCGGUCGAUACGGGCAGGCUAGAGUUCGGUAGGGGAGACUGGAAUUCCUGGUGUAGCGGUGAAAUGCGCAGAUAUCAGGAGGAACACCGGUGGCGAAGGCGGGUCUCUGGGCCGAUACUGACGCUGAUGCGCGAAAGCCAGGGGAGCAAACGGG